UACGUAGGGACCUAGCGUUGUCCGGAAUCAUUGGGCGUAAAGCGCGCGUAGGCGGCCCGGUAAGUCCGUUGUAAAAGUCGAAGGCUCAACCUUCGAAAGCCGAUGGAUACUGCCGGGCUAGAGUACGGAAGAGGCGAGUAGAAUUCCUGGUGUAGCGGUGGAAUGCGCAGAUAUCAGGAGGAACACCGAUGGCGAAGGCAGAUCUCUGGGCCGUAACUGACGCUGAGGAGCGAAAGCGUGGGGAGCGAACAGG
This 253-nucleotide ribosomal RNA is filed under the name uncultured bacterium. RNAcentral describes it as "partial 16S ribosomal RNA". It matches the Rfam family "Bacterial small subunit ribosomal RNA", at positions 524 to 776 of the family's 1533-position model. The record is from RNAcentral.